UAGGUCAGUAUGCCCCGAAUAUCCCGGGCUACACGCGAGCUACAAUGGUUGGUACAAUGGGUAUCUACCCCGAAAGGGGACGGGAAUCUCCUAAACCAAUCUUAGUUCGGAUUGAGGGCUGCAACUCGCCCUCAUGAAGCUGGAAUCCGUAGUAAUCGCGUUUCAACAGAACGCGGUCGAAUACCGUCCUGCGUCCUU
RNAcentral lists this ribosomal RNA (198 nucleotides) under uncultured Methanosaeta sp. RNAcentral describes it as "partial 16S ribosomal RNA". It matches the Rfam family "Archaeal small subunit ribosomal RNA", at positions 1142 to 1338 of the family's 1478-position model. Lineage: Archaea; Methanobacteriati; Methanobacteriota; Methanomicrobia; Methanotrichales; Methanotrichaceae. The record is from RNAcentral.